RNAcentral lists this long non-coding RNA (11214 nucleotides) under Setaria viridis. RNAcentral describes it as "long non-coding RNA (SVIR_LNC008328)". Lineage: Eukaryota; Viridiplantae; Streptophyta; Magnoliopsida; Poales; Poaceae. The record is from RNAcentral.
GCAGGGAUUCUAAAAAGGAUUAAGUUUUAAAAAUUAUGGCACAAUACGUUCACGCAAAUAGAUAAGUCAAUGUGUAUGCAGAUGUGUGCAUCUAUGGGCCACUCCUCCCAAUCGUCAUGGAAUAUGCAAGUAUACAUCAUUAAGAAUGGGUUGACAAGGAUCGCUAUCGGGAAAGGCAUAAUAAUCUCGCAAUCAAGAAAAGGUGCUCACAAAAAAAAAAUAAGGUACGGUGUUCGGAUAGCAGAUAAAUAAUUUAACCAAGGACACACAUUGGUUGAGUGAACACCAACUUCGGCAAACCCCAGAACCAGUCUGAUGAUAUAAUACUGCUCUUUUUAUAUAUAAUUGCCAGAUAGGAGUACUAUUCUUGCAGAACGGUGAGCAUUCAUAAUUGAAACCCUGACAUCAGCAGACAGCACAAUCUCUAUUGAUGUGAUCUAACUUUAGGUUAUAUUAUUUUUAAGUGUAGCUAACUUUUUGUUCACAUGAAUUGGUAGGAGAACUAAAUAAAAGAAUAGACGGUGAACACUCCCUCCUUCUGAAUGUUAAAAGAAUGAAAGGUGGAAUGGUUGUAUUGAUAGAGGGAGUCUGUACUUAUUUAUACUCUGCCAACAGACAGGAAGUGGCCCCUUCAAGAUGACUGUUCAUGAAGGGGCACCCCUUGGGGUGGCAGUUCCCCACUUGGUAGUUAUCCACUAAUUAACUAAUUAAUUCAAUAACUAUAAUAAUUGGUCAGUAAUUAUGUGUUUCACAACACUCCCAUCAAUUGUUUCUUGUAAGCUUCAUGUAAUCCUGGUUCAAUCAUCUUUGAUUAUCAUAUGAGAAAAACUCCUCCAAAAAUCCUAUGGGAAAAAUAUUAAGGAGAAACCAACUUGUAUGUCCAUAUGCCAUUAAAACUCCUUUAAAACCCAGUGGAAAAAUAUAAGGAGAAAAUGAUAUGGCAUAUUUUAGAUUAUUGUCUCAUUGCAAACUCAUAUGAGAAAAAUCUUGAAAAGGAAAUACUCAUAAGUGAGUUUGGAGAUCAAUAAUAUUAUGAUCUAAGGAUCAUAUUCGAAUCACCUUCCCCAAAACCCAAUGGAAAAAUAUGAGAAGGAAUUGUAUAUCUUAUAUAUCUCCUUAAAAACUCUUGUAGAGAAAACAGAAGAUAUGACAUAAUAUGUCUUGAAUACCACCUUUAAAAACCACGGUGGGAAAAAUAGGUGAUAUGACAUAUAUUCUUGUAUUGAUAAUGCCUCAUUAAAACCUUUUAUGAGAAACCUUUGUGAGGAAAAACUCAUAUAGGAAAAAGAGUACAAUAUGAUGAUAGGUUAGGGAGUCUCCCCCUGAGCCUUGAAAAAUUUAAGUUUUCAUUCACCACUUACCAUGAACACCAUUCUAUGAUGUAGUGGUGGAUAAGUGCAUUAGUGAUUAUAUUUUGCAAGUUGUUUAUUCCCUUACUUUGUAAAAAUGAGGAUAAAACAUUUUGAGCAAUAUGAUAUUGCUGAUAUGUAACCUUGUUUCAUCCAAGCAAUACAAGUUGCAUUAUCAUUUAUGGAUAAUGUUAGUGAUUAUAUGGAAUCACAUUUUAUCAUUCAUUGGAGUCACACAUAUACAUGUGAUGCUUCAGAAUGAUAGAUAAAAGUUACCAUUAGAGUCUAUUUUGAUGACUCGCGUGAAAACUUUAUUAUCAAUAUCAGUCUAUGAUCGGGCAAUAUGGGGAUUAGUAAGCCAGUAUCAUGAUAUCCCACUUUGUCAUGUCUUGAAAUUAAUCGAGAUCUUUUAGUACCAUUUAAAUAUCUAUAGAUAUCUGUUUUUGGACUCCCACCAAUAUGGUAUUUUUAGAGUUGCACUAAUUUGCACAAUAGCAAUGUAUUUACAAAAGCAGUAUCAGGCCUGUUGCAUUUUGUUAUAAUACUUGAGUGCUUUUGUUGGCACUAAGUUUACUAUCCCAGGGUCUAAAUGGACAUUGAUUCAUCUUUAGGGACUGAAUGACCAUAAGUAUUGAUGGAUAUGCUUGUCCAAUAUUAUUUGAAUAUUUUUAUACAUAUCAAUUGAAUAUUGAUAAACUGAUAUAUAUGCAUAAGUUGUAAACUUAAGCAUAGUUUGGUUUUACCCAAAUUUCCAUCUCAAAUUCCAUCAUAAAAUGAUUGCUUGUUUGUUUGUGUGUUGAGAUGAUGGAAAAUCCAAUUUGGGAUUUAUUUGUGAACACACAUAUGCAAUCAUUGUGAUUGGAGUAAUCCUUCUAAGGAAGAUACUCUCUUAGUCAGUUGUACCACAACCAACUUGACUAUUUCAAGCCAUGUAGUGACUUGAGUUAUACACAAUAUAUGUUGCGGUUUAUAUUUAGAUUUAGAAUGUGAAGUCUGCUGAUGACUUGUAUAUCCAAAUCUAUCAAAAUUAUUAUACCUGCCAAUGAUUAAAUAUAGGAACAAAAUUUUCACAUAUACCAUGAGGGUAUGUGUAACACCUACUAUUUUAGUCAUCAAAAGUAAAUCUAAAGAAAUAGAAGCAAUUCAUGAAGAAAAGGAGAAGAAAUCGGCUAAAAAUCAAAUUCCGGUCAAAUUUGACCGAAAUUUGAAUUUUGAAUUCGAAAUUUAAAAUUAAUUUAGCAAAAAUAUGGAAUGGAAGUAUAAGAGUGAUUAGAAUUUUAAGAUCAAGAUUUGGGACAAGAUCUGGUCCUAAAUACCUCAAGAAAAUCGAAGAAAGAAAUUAAAAACCCAAGUUACUAUUCACCAUCCGACAAUAAGAAGUUCAGAAAAACAGCAGCAGAGUCCAUUUUGGAAAUUAAUUUCCGACCAAUUUUACAAAUAAGUGGACCAAGACAACUACACAGUGAUGAAGUAUGGACUUUGGACAAAUAGAUUUGGGUGUUGUUGAUCAGGAACAGUAAGGGGGACAAAUUCAAAUUUAAGCUCAAAGUCAGCACAUUGUCACGGUAGACUGCAUUGCUGAAUUUGCCUAAGUCUGAAACAGCAAUAAGUAGCUGAGUUUGGAGCCGAUUUCAGACGAAUGUAGAGUAAAAGAUGUAAGUGUUUUUGGGAAAAAUGGAAUCCUUGAAGGUUGUAGAACACAAAUGGGAAGAAGUUGGACUGAAAGAAAAGGAUUUGGAUCACUGAAAUCAUUUACAAAGUAGGGUAAAUGACCCUGUCGAGUGACUGACGAACUGAACUUCGAGUUCAGAGAAAUUCAGACAAAUGAGAGAAAGAGUUCAAAAUUCUACUGUGCUAGGAUGAUUAUCUCAGGUCGGAGCAAAAAUAAAACUUAGAGAGUUCAAGUUUAUCUAUAACUUUGCUUAAAGGACCGGGGAGUCGUCGGAUUCAAAAUCGACCGUGAUUUGGAUCUGAAUCUCAGGCAUCAGAAAAACAAGAAAAGUGGGGGGGCGACAGAGCAAGCAGGACGUGUCGCCGCCGGUGCUUCUGCCGCUGUCCAGCUCAGGUAGCUAGGCCACCUCCUCACCACGCAAGCCUACGAGUAGACCACGGUGUCAACCAUGCGCACGGUGAAAGCUUCGAAUAACUACCGCUCCCGCCGUCGUGCUUACUGCCCGCUCUUUUUACCGCCGCCGCCCUUUCUGUCCAAGCCGCUGCCGCCGGGUGAAAUUCCUCCUAUACACCGCAGCUCCUGUCGAUUCCCUCCGUCCACACCUCCCCACACACCCCACCGACAACCCUAGCAGCUUGUUGUCCAGCCUCUCCGCCGGCAUGCCAUAAACCACCGACGUUUCUAUCCGUCGCCGCCGCGCCUCCUGCUCACGGUGAGCACCUCCUUGCUCUUGUUCUCUUUCUUUAUGGGUAGUCGUAGGCGGGUCCUUGGGGUGCUAGAAAGCCGUACAGGGAGUUGUCGGGGUAGACCAAGCCGUUGUCGUGCUUAGCCAUGACCGGCCGUAGGCGCCGCCGCCCGCCGCCGUGGAGGGAAUGGCUCCGGCCAUUUCCCGGGGAGCUAUCGCCGCGCACGGGUGCGUUAGAGCAUGGGGAUGCUUCCCCGGCCUAGCCCCGUCGCUAGUGGGGCGCCGGCCGACGAGUCGCACCGCCCCCUGUCGCGCCUGGUUUUGGCGGGAGGAAGAAGAAAGCGCUGGAGCUGCGGGCCCGCGCGUCAGAGGAAGCAGGGGGAGAGAAGGGGGCCGGCCGAGCGGGAAAGUUGGUUGGGCCGGGGUCUAGUUGGCCCAAAGAGCCGGUACGAGCGGCCGAUGGAAGAAAAGGCCGGAGGCCCAGGAGAGAAGCAGGCCGGUCUCGCGGGAGAAGAGAAGAAGGAGAGAUGGGCCGUUGGGCUGGUGCUGGUCCGAGUUAAGGAAAAGAAAAAGAAAAUCGGCCCAGUAGGGCCCGGCCGAGGAGAAGUGGCCGGCGGGUAAGGUGAACAGGAGGAAGGGGUGGAUCCGAGCCGCGGGCCCAGCGUAAGAGAGAGGGGGUAGAGUAGGGUCGCCUGAGAAAAGUAGCCGGGGGUGUUUUUUUGGGGAAAAGUUAGAUUUCCUUUAUAGAAUAAAUAGUUUAAAUCCGAAUCUCACCAUUUAAAUCACAUGAAUUUCUAGGAGUGUCCAAAAUUAGUGAAACCAAUUUUGUUAGGCUCAUUUUAUUUUCCUUUAUGCAUUAAAAUUUUUAUACCCUAGAAAAAUAAUAAAAAUUUGGGUAUUUAUUUAAUGCCUUUCUUUUAAGGUAUUUAAAUAAAUACUUAAUCUUUAUUAAAUGCAUAAAAUAUGGAAUAAUAUUUUCAUAAUCACAAAUUAUUAUUAACUCAUAGGAAAUUAGAUUUUAAGGCUAGAAAAUAAUUAUAACAUUUUCUAAAAAUAAAAGAAAAAGCCCUAAGUAAGGUUAGUUAAGGAAAUAAAAUUGUGGGCUAAUCUUUUCGGGUUUGUGUGUGUCGGCUUGCAACUUUAUCAUGAUAAAUUGUACAGUCCUUGUUGGCUUGCAACUUUAUCAUGAAGGAAAGUUGUAUAGUCUUGUAUUCAAAAAGUUGCAUUCCUAACCCCUGCAUAUGCUUUGUCUUAGACACCGAAGCGCCAGAAGGGGGUUUCUCGGAAUAUUCAGAAGGAUCUCCGGAGUUUGAAGAGAUCUUUGAAUUGGUUCCCUGCGAGGCCAACCCUUCAGACAGUGCUAACUUUUUUAGCGAACAAGGCAAGCCCCGGUGCAUUAUACCUAUUAUUUUGGAGUCAAUAUUUCAUGUGUCCAAUUAUCGGUUAUCUGCUAUAUGUAUGCACUAAGUCUAGGAGUUGCUUGAAACCCAUUCUUGUGCAUUAUCAUACCUUGUUUUAAGGACAUCUUUGCCACUUGUUCAAACCUUUAGAAAAUAACCCAAGUCUAGAAUUGCUUAGUUGCUCAAACACUUGCUUUACCAAACCUUAAGGUAAAUAUUGAGUCAUGCAUAUUAAUUAUGGAAAGAUAACUUGGAAAUCAAGAAGCGGACAGAAGCUAGGGAUGUAGUUCUAUCUGCUAGAUUAAUCUGGUUAAGGCCCGAUUCGUUGUCUUAACCUUUGAUCAAGUGAAAGACAUCUGAUCACUUACUGGGUAUGGGACCAGCAAAGCCCAGUAGGUUAGUAAACCCUCUGAUUGGGAAUACUUCGUACCUGCGCUUGACGUGCUGGAGAUUGGCAGGGGCGUAGCCUGAAACUCACAUGGUGAUCGGGCCAGACGUGGGGUCCCAUGUGGGGGUGCGUCCCUAGGUCCGGGUAGUCUUAUUCCCAAUCAUUGGAUUUGCUAAUCGAAAAGUCGUUACGUACGACCUGGACAGUCGUAUAUAGCUGGUGAUCAGGGUACUCUCCUGCAGGAUGUAUUUUGAUCCGGAUCGCCGCAAUUCUCGGUUAUGAAUGCACUUGAUCACUGUUGAGCAUCGUAGCAUAAAUUCAUGAUUGCUAUAUCUUUCCAUUAAGCUUUGGUGUAUGACUUAAUACUUUGUUAUUUGCAAGUAGUCUUUUAUUAUCACCUAGAAUGGUUAGGUAAUGACUUAAUCCAAAUAAUAGAUAAAGCUAAGGUCUCACUUUAGUAAGCUUUUUGGAGAAAAUGUGUCAGCCAAGUACACUGAAAAAGCUAUCAUGUAAUUCCAAGAAAAACUAUUAUAUUGGUUAGUCGGGUAAGCCUUGCUGAGUACCUCGUACUCAGGGUUAUCCCUUGUGGCUAUUUUCAGAGGCACCGCAGGAAUCCACCGAGGAGGAAGCCCCAAAAAAUUAGGGUAUUGUUAUGAGUCUCACAAUACCCUUAGAGGCAAAUCUUAAAUGCUCUCUCCACCUGAACCGUUUAUGUUUAAAAUCCUAGAACUUCUGUCUAACCUACACUGUUAAGUUUUGUUUCAAACUAUGUCUUGUAAUAACUCGUAACUUGUGUAUGUAUGUAAAAAUGUAAUAUUUGUUAAUGCUAUCCCAUCGCGGAUACAAUCCUGAUGUAUGGCUAUGGGACACGACGUGGAUCUUCGAGGAGUCCUAGGGACACUCGACGGACGAUCGGACUUAUACUGUUUUAAGUGUGUUUCGGAUAAUUGCUGCAUCGGCAACGAUUAGGCGCAUUUAAACCAGUUUAAGUUGGACGGUUCCGCCACAGUAUGUUGCUCGGUCUCUGCGUGAAACCAUUGCUACAAUCUCUCAUUAUAUCACCACCUUACUUUCAUAAAGAAUGCAUUUGUGAGAACAUGUAUUACUGUGGUAAAUACCUCUCACCAGUGAACGAGAGAAAUUCUCCAUAAUUGCCACCUUUGCUUUGACCCAAUUUGAGUUUUGAUAUACUCUGCCUAGGAAUUUUUGUCUGGAUCCAGUUUAAGGUGUAUAACAAUUUUGAGGAGCAUAUGUCGAUAAUUUGUAGUCUUUGUAUAAUUGAUUCAAUGGAAUCAAUAUAGCAUGUGAAAUAUUAAUCCUUUAAAACUCUUAUCUCAUUUCCCACGAUGAUAGAGUUAGGGUGUUCCAAUGACCCAGUGCCUAAAUUUAUGUGCAUAUGUACUGGAUUUUUGAAUGCUGAACAUUCAUAGGCUUUGGAUUUGAAUAUCCGUAAAGUGUUUAACAACAUGCAUGAUGUUGAUUUGCAUUUACUAUCUUGGAGGAUGUCUCCCCCUAUUUCCGCGAAUGCUUGUAAUAACCUAUAUCUCUAGUGACCAUACUUCUCUCCCUCUUAUUUUAAUUUGGGAGUUGAGCGAUCUUGUUAGAUCAUCACUUUUCUGGCACACUAAUUGUAGGGAUUUAAUAUGAUGAAACUUUUGGUAAGCAAAUGCAUUUGGCAGACUAUUUAUAAUGUGUUACAAAUAUAAGAUGUUCUAAACUGUUGAUUCAGAUAUUCUUUGGUAUGUACGUGGAUGUGAGGAUUGAAUAUGUGUAACAUUCAUUUUAGAUUCCUAACAUUCUAUGUGUGCUAUUAAUCUUCCCCUAAUGCCUGGAAUUAUCCUCAAAGUGUUAUCAACAUAUGGGCUUGUGUGUAAAUCCCUAUAUGAGACCUAAGGUAUUAUAUGAAUGACGGAUAAUAAUACCUUUUGUGGGUCCCUAAUGCCCAUGAUGUAUGUUGCGGUGGUGAUAUUGGUGUGUAAAAUAUUACCAACAGGCAGAUGGGAAAUAUUUAGCUGUGGCCAAGUUUUCAUGUUCUAAAUACAACGGAGGGAGCCGUAUGAUUGCAAUUUUAUGAAUUUAGGUUAUGCAGUGUGUAAGUCCACAUAUUACCAACUUGAUGUUGAUAAAUUGAAGUCUAUUUGAUGAUCAUGCAAAUAAGUUAUCUCGAUAAGAGAUUCAGUUAAGCCAUAAUUGAUAUGAACAUAUGGUACUUAAUGAUAUAGUUCCCAAAACCAAAUAAUUCCAUAUGAAUGGAUGUGAUCUUGUGUUUAGGAAAAUUUUUGCUCCAAAUUGAAAAUUUGAGCGAUGAAUUUGGUAAGAAUUGUGGUGCCUUAUGAUCAGUAAGGGACACAUGUGGGACUAUUUGCAAAUGCAUGCAUGAGUACUUUAGAGUGCCCAUAUAGUCCAUAAAUAGCUUAAUAUGGCCAACAUAUCUUGAAUGCAUUCAAGAAAUUUGGUGGCUCAUUAUUUGGAAUUCUAAGGUAAGAGGAUCUUAAAAUUAAUUCUCUUGUGGCACAUGCGGUGCACAAAAUCUGAGGAUUUUGAGAAUGUAUGCUAUGACCAAUAUAAUUGAUAAUAUUUUUCUUAUCAUUCAUGAGUUAGAAUGAUCAAGGCUAUCAUGCCAAUUCAUGAUAUGACCAAGAUUGAAAAUUUAUUUUAUAUGCAACAUGUCAUACGGGAUUGAUGUAUGCACAUAUAACAUAUCCCAAAUGAUAUGAAAGGAAUUAUAUGAAUAUUGAAUUUUCAUGUCCAUCAUACCAAGUUGAGUGCUGAUAUUUCAACAUUACUCUUAAUAAUAGGUUUCGAUAUGAAACCAUACAAAUGGAUGUCAUGAAAUUGGGGUAUUUGUAGAAUACAUGAGUGCAUCUACAAUGAAUAAUUAGAUACCUAUGAGGAGAGUAUAUAUUUCUCACAAUUGUGAUAGUGGUGAUCCACUUAAUGAAAUUCCUUUUCUUUCUUGUUUGAUCCUGAAUGAAUACCAUGUACGAGGUACAUGAUAUUAAUGAUGGACAAUAUAGUACAUGUAGUAAUAUAGUGUUGAACUAAUGAUAAUUCCAUAAAUUAUAUGGAAAUAUAUGGAGAUCUAAUUUAUUAAAGUGUGCUUCCAAUUGAUCUCCUUGAACUCACUUUCCUCUAAUGGAGUGGAGAUAUUGUUUGAACCAAAUAUUUCAUUUGGAAAUCAUGUGUACAUGAAUGUACAACCACACUUGAGACAAAUGUGAGAUUUGUCAUUAUGGUCACUUUUAUGGAAAGUGACAUUUUAUGUUUGAGAUCCAUUGUGUUGUAAAUUCCAUGAACUGAAAGUUCUAUUAUUUGUUGAUAACUCUACUAGGAGUUCAAAGAAUAAAUGGAUCUUGCUCCUUUGGAUACUCAGACUUGUAAAAAUUUGAAUGGAGGAAAUGUAGUAACACACAAAGGUGCAUGUAUGGUAAUGUAAAUAAUGGAUUGGGUACUUUGAUUAGGGUAGAACUAUGGUGCCAUUGGUGCCAUGGAUCUCCCAAUGAUAUCGUUGAUAUCAAGUGCCCAUGCUGGAUAGUAAAUCCUAUCCAAUUCGAAUUUAGAAAAUUCCAUUUUUGGAAACAUCAGUCAUGUCCUACAUGAGUAAGUCAUGUUGUUUAAUGAAUUUACUCGAGGAGUAAAUUAUAUAGCAUGAAUAUAUUAAGAUGCAAAAUUUAUUUAAAUCAAGUUGAUACUUGAUUAUAAGUGGACUAUUCUAUAAUUGACAAGCGACAGAAGUCGUUGCACAUGUUUUGCACUCCAUUCUUGUGAGAAUAGAUGAUCUGAUGAUCAUUGCCAAAACAUAGUCUAUGUAUAUAUGACAUAAGAUAGUCACUUAAAUAUGUUGCACUUUUCUUCUAUUUAUUUAAGCAAAAGUUGAUGCUUAAUUUUGAAUUCAAGAUAAGUCUUGAAUUAUUCUAUGCAAAAUCUUGUACAUUCAAAAUGUGGCUUGAAUUACAAGUAAUGUUGACAUAAUAUUUGAUAGGCGAUGAAAUCGUUGUUAUUAUCGAGUGCGACUCGAUUAUCAUGUACUAGUAAGUUAACACACGAAAAGGUAAUCACCAUAAUGGUGUAAACUUUGAAGUAGUGGAUGAGGAACUCAUUGCUAUAGGCAUAGUUUGCAUGAUUGCAAUAAAUGCUUUAGAGUCCACUCAUAUGUGUUACACUAGUAAUAUUAGGUCAUCACAUGAAGAGUAAUCCCCAUGUUGGUGUUAUGAUUAUGCAAAAAUAGUGAAGGCAAGAUGAUUCUUGCAACAAAAUAAGGUAUAUAUCAAUGGGUAGUGCAAUUGUUGUAAAUAUAUUAUUUAUAUUCCUGUGGGAAUAAAUGACUUGAUAGUCAUAAUUAAUACAGAUUUUUUUUCAAUUUUUAUGAAAUUUUUGAUAUACACAUUGAAGGUAAUCAUCAUAAAGAUGUAGACCUUUUAGUGAUGAGCAAAAAGCUGCCUAAAAGUACGGUCUUUGGGCAAAUAAAUUCUUUGACAAGAACUUAUCGUAGCCAGUGCCUAGGUCGCAUCACCUUGUGUGAUUCCAAAAUUAUAUUGAUAUACAUUAAUUUAAAUUUUACAUCACCUUCUACAUGAUGUAGAAUAUUGAUUAAGUAUUAAUUAUGCAAACAAAAUAGAUUGCAUAUGUAAAGAUUGUUCAACACCGAUGAAAAGAUAUGCGGAUCAUGAUGAUGCUCAAUUACUGUGGUAAGUUUGGCAUCCUUAUUACAUUGGUGCUAAUACUGGAUGGUAUACAUAGAUAAUUCACAAGGGAACUCGUAAAUCAGAACAAUCAAGUGUCUCAAUAGUAAUAUUCAGAACAAUAGACAUGCUAGACCAUGUAAAUAAGUAGAAACCAGGAGAGCUCUUUAUUGAAAUUGGGGGCAACUUGGGCUGCACUGAAAUGGGGUGUAACCCCUCCUCAUCCUGUUGUGCAGUACGGACCAUACGAUGUAUGAGGAAUGUGGGACUCCAGUGGUGGAACGAGGGAGCUUUGUCCAUGGCGAGCAUUCCAAUGCCCACGGUGACAGUAGCCACCAAAACGGCAGUGACCGCGACGAGCACGAUCUGACGUUGCCGUAGAGACGCACGGAGGCGCUUGUGGAUGUGAGCCGUAGCUGUUGUCGCGGUGGCCAUUGCAAGAUGUGUUGUUCUGUCUGGGAGCAGCAAGCGGAACACGCGGCUGCUUGCCAGCACCAGCGGACUACACAGAUUUGUGUCUACGGAGAGCGUGCAGAGGCACUGGCACAUGAUGACAGGAGGAGUCCUGCGUGGUGGCCAGCAUGCACCAGUAGCUUAGGAGGAUUUGCACCUGCCUUUUUCUUGAGCAACGUAUGAACGUGUUUGUUCAUCUUUUAUCAUUGCUCAUAGAUGCAGUGAAACCUCUUGCCCGUCUAUGUGAAAUUGAAGGCUUGCAUGUCUGUUGAGUAGCGUGUGCCUCUGUACUUACAAUGAUAGUCACGCAGAGGACGACGAUGGAGGGAAAGCACCCUAGUUGAAGUCAAUCCCAUAUUGCAGAGGCAAGCAAGUUUGUGUUGUUGGCCAAACUCAAUGGAAGGAUAGAGCAAACGUGGCUGAUAACGUGUUAAAGAAUGAAAAGUGGAAUGGAUUGAAUGGAAAGGUUGUAUUGAUAGAGGGAGUCUGUACGUAUUUAUACUCUACCAACAGACAGGAAGUGGCCCCUUCAAGAUGACUGUUCAUGCCUUGGGCUCGCAGUUCCCCUCUUGGUAGUUAUCCACU